RNAcentral lists this ribosomal RNA (464 nucleotides) under uncultured bacterium. RNAcentral's name for it is "partial 16S ribosomal RNA". It matches the Rfam family "Bacterial small subunit ribosomal RNA", at positions 339 to 795 of the family's 1533-position model. The record is from RNAcentral.
CUACGGGACGCUGCAGCUAAGAAUCUUCCGCAAUGGGCGAAAGCCUGACGGAGCGACGCCGCGUGGGUGAAGAAGGCCGAGAGGUUGUAAAGCCCUUUUCUGUCUGAGGAAUAAGCCUGGGAGGGAAUGCCCGGGUGAUGACGGUAAGACAGGAAUAAGCCCCGGCUAAUUACGUGCCAGCAGCCGCGGUAACACGUAUGGGGCGAGCGUUGUUCGGAAUGAUUGGGCGUAAAGGGCGCGUAGGCGGAGAUGCAAGUCUGGUGUGAAAUACCGCAGCUUAACUGCGGGACCGCGCUGGAAACUGCAUAUCUUGAGUUCCGGAGGGGGAGUUGGAAUUCCUGGUGUAGGGGUGAAAUCUGUUGAUAUCAGGAAGAACACCGGUGGCGAAGGCGAACUCCUGGACGGAAACUGACGCUGAGGCGCGAAAGCGUGGGGAGCGAACAGGAUUAGAUACCCGGGUAGUC